CAACGUGGGUAACCUGCCCAUCAGAGGGGGAUAACAUUCGGAAACGGAUGCUAAAACCGCAUAGGUCCUUUAACCGCAUGGUUGAAGGAGGAGAAGAGGCGCAAGCUUCUGCUGAUGGAUGGACCCGCGGUGCAUUAGCUAGUUGGUGAGGUAACGGCUCACCAAGGCCGUGAUGCAUAGCCGACCUGAGAGGGUGAUCGGCCACAUUGGGACUGAGACACGGCCCAA
RNAcentral lists this ribosomal RNA (228 nucleotides) under uncultured bacterium. RNAcentral's name for it is "partial 16S ribosomal RNA". It matches the Rfam family "Bacterial small subunit ribosomal RNA", at positions 113 to 334 of the family's 1533-position model. The record is from RNAcentral.